Molecule: long non-coding RNA, 631 nt
Filed under: Mus pahari (shrew mouse)
Lineage: Eukaryota; Metazoa; Chordata; Mammalia; Rodentia; Muridae
Description: predicted gene 42813 (MGP_PahariEiJ_G0005741.1)
Source: RNAcentral
GUUUUCCUCUUUUGUUUUUAAUCAAGGCCAUCAAGUGAAGAGUUUCUGCUACAGCACAUACUCCAGGCACAGCACGCAAGACCAUGUCCCACAGACAGCCCCAAAGCAACAAGGAAACAAGAACAAAAGACAGCCAAAGGGAGGCAGACAGGCUGGAGAAAGAGUGCAAGGUAUGUUCUCUGAUAGCUGUUGCUUGGGGCCAAGUGCAAGUGAUCUCCGCAUUCCAUAGAAAUGGCUCCUGAUUGACCACAAGAGCUGCUGUGCCUCAGGACACUACAAAAGAGAAGAAUUUGCAGCUCUCUACAUCCCUCAGGGUAUUAACUCCAAAACUGUGGGUUGUCCAUAUGUGAGCACCAAGCAUAUCCUGUGGCACCUGCUACUUGGCACAGCUUUCCUUUCAGGAACCCAGUAACCUGUGGCCACUGGUGGCUGCAGGCCUCGUUGGAGGAAGUAUGUCACUGUGGACGUGGGUAAUGAGAACCUGCUCCUAACCAUAUGAGAGCCAAUCUUCUCCUCGCUGAUUUUGGAACAAGAGGUAGAAGUCUCAGAAGUCUCAGUUCUCCAGUGCCAUGCCUGCCUAGAUGCUGCCAUGCUUCCUGCCAUAAUGAUAAAGGACUGAGCCUCUGAAUCU